RNAcentral lists this ribosomal RNA (301 nucleotides) under uncultured bacterium. Its description in RNAcentral is "partial 16S ribosomal RNA". It matches the Rfam family "Bacterial small subunit ribosomal RNA", at positions 509 to 807 of the family's 1533-position model. The record is from RNAcentral.
CAGCAGCCACGGUAAUACGUAGGGUGCAAGCGUUAAUCGGAAUUACUGGGCGUAAAGGGCGCGUAGGUGGUUAUUUAAGUGAGAUGUGAAAGCCCCGGGCUUAACCUGGGAACUGCAUCUUAUACUGGGUAACUGGAGUGCAGUAGAGGGUAGUGGAAUUUCCGGUGUAGCGGUGAAAUGCGUAGAUAUCGGAAGGAACACCAGUGGCGAAGGCGGCUACCUGGACUGAGAUUGACACUGAGGCGCGAGAGCGUGGGGAGCAAACAGGAUUAGAGACCCCAGUAGUCCCUGUCUCUUAUAC